RNAcentral lists this ribosomal RNA (508 nucleotides) under uncultured bacterium. RNAcentral's name for it is "partial 16S ribosomal RNA". It matches the Rfam family "Bacterial small subunit ribosomal RNA", at positions 30 to 523 of the family's 1533-position model. The record is from RNAcentral.
AUUGAACGCUGGCGGCAUGCCUUACACAUGCAAGUCGAGCGGCAGCGGGGGAGAAGCUUGCUUUUCCUGCCGGCGAGUGGCGAACGGGUGAGUAAUACAUCGGAACGUGCCCUGUAGUGGGGGAUAACUAGUCGAAAGAUUAGCUAAUACCGCAUACGACCUGAGGGUGAAAUUGGGGGACCGCAAGGCCUCAUGCUAUAGGAGCGGCCGAUGUCUGAUUAGCUAGUUGGUGGGGUAAAGGCCUACCAAGGCGACGAUCAGUAGCUGGUCUGAGAGGACGAUCAGCAAAACUGGGACUGAGACACGGCCCAGACUCCUACGGGAGGCAGCAGUGGGGAAUUUUGGACAAUGGGCGAAAGCCUGAUCCAGCAAUGCCGCGUGUGUGAAGAAGGCCUUCGGGUUGUAAAGCACUUUUGUCCGGAAAGAAAUGGCUCUGGUUAAUACCUGGGGUCGAUGACGGUACCGGAAGAAUAAGGACCGGCUAACUACGUGCCAGCAGCCGCCGUAA